This 376-nucleotide ribosomal RNA is filed under the name uncultured eukaryote. Its description in RNAcentral is "SSU rRNA". It matches the Rfam family "Eukaryotic small subunit ribosomal RNA", at positions 587 to 969 of the family's 1831-position model. The record is from RNAcentral.
AGCUCCAAAAGCAUAUAUUAAAGUUGUUGCGGUUAAAAAGCUCGUAGUCGAAUGUCUGUUGAGGUAGGCAGGUCCGCCCCCUGGGUGUGCAUCUUGCCUCACUUGGCAUCUUCGUGGAUAACGAUACUGCACUUGAUUGUGUGGUUCGGUAGUCACGACAGUUACCUUGAGGAAAUUAGAGUGUUUCAAGCAGGCUUUAGCCUUGAAUACGUUAGCAUGGUAUAACAUGAUAGGAUGUCAAGUCUAUUUGUUGGCUUCUGGGGUUGAUGUAAUGGCGAACAGGAACAGUUGAGGACUCUAGUAUCAAGAUGCCAGAGGUGAAAUUCUUGGAUUUUCUGGCGACUAACAAUUGCGAACGCUAUAGUCAGGGAUGUUU